RNAcentral lists this ribosomal RNA (274 nucleotides) under uncultured bacterium. RNAcentral's name for it is "partial 16S ribosomal RNA". It matches the Rfam family "Bacterial small subunit ribosomal RNA", at positions 523 to 796 of the family's 1533-position model. The record is from RNAcentral.
AUACGGAGGGUGCAAGCGUUAUCCGGAUUCAUUGGGUUUAAAGGGUGCGCAGGCGGACUUGUAAGUCAGUGGUGAAAUCCCGGGGCUCAACCUCGGAACUGCCAUUGAUACUGCAAGUCUUGAGUUUGGUUGAAGUGGGCGGAAUGUAGCAUGUAGCGGUGAAAUGCAUAGAUAUGCUACAGAACACCGAUCGCGAAGGCAGCUCACUAAACCAACACUGACGCUCAGGCACGAAAGCGUGGGGAGCGAACAGGAUUAGAUACCCCAGUAGUCC